RNAcentral lists this ribosomal RNA (466 nucleotides) under uncultured microorganism. RNAcentral describes it as "bacterial SSU rRNA". It matches the Rfam family "Bacterial small subunit ribosomal RNA", at positions 9 to 524 of the family's 1533-position model. The record is from RNAcentral.
GAGUUAUCGUGGCUCAGAGCGAACGCUGGCGGCAGGCCUAACACAUGCAAGUCGAACGAACUCUUCGGAGUUAGUGGCGGACGGGUGAGUAACACGUGGGAACGUGCCUUUUGGUUCGGAAUAACUCAGGGAAACUUGUGCUAAUACCGAAUGUGCCCUUCGGGGAAGGAUUAUUCGCCAUUAGAGCGGCCCGCGUCUGAUUAGCUAGUUGGUGAGGUAAAGGCUCACCAAGGCGACGAUCAGUAGCUGGUCUGAGGGGAUGAUCAGCCACAUUGGGACUGAGACACGGCCCAAACUCCUACGGGAGGCAGCAGUGGGGAAUCUUGCGCAAUGGGCGAAAGCCUGACGCAGCCAUGCCGCGUGAAUGAUGAAGGUCUUAGGAUUGUAAAAUUCUUUCACCGGGGACGAUAAUGACGGUACCCGGAGAAGAAGCCCCGGCUAACUUCGUGCCAGCAGCCGCUGUAAU